CACAUGAAUGCUGUAGGGCUAUGAACCACCAGUACGUAGUGAAUCCCAAUCAAGGACCCACCACAGACAAGGUGACUUAGGAAGCAGGUAACAGGGAAGAGGGUGCUGAUUGGCCAAAGAUCUAGUCACAGAGGUUCAGGCAUUGGGCAGUCCACCCUGUCCUCCUAAUCAGUGCCUCGGCCUGGAAAUCAGCAUUUAUAGCCUUGAUGUGAAAGAAGACAGUGAUAUUGAGUGCCUGAUAUUUCCUAUCAUUUCCUAACAACUCUUCACUCCAUAAAAAAGGGAACUGCAUCUCAAGUAAGGGAAGCCCCUUAUUAAGGUCCAAUAUCUAAGAAGUUGCAGAGUUGGGGCUCAAAUCCAGCUCUGUACAACCCCAAAGCCUAUGCCAAGGCAGAAGGAGGCCAAGUUGCAUCCAUUCCAAGUUCCAACUGUGUAGCAAGGUGGCGAGACUCCCUGCGUUUGAAUCCCAGCUCUGCCAUCUACUAGCUGUGCAGCCUCAGGCCAGUGGCAGAGCCUCUCUGAUCCUCAGUCUUCCCAGCUCUAAAAUGGGAAUAAGAAUCGUUCCUGCCUCACAGGACAGUUGUGAGGGUUAAAUGGUGCCUAGCCCAGGUUCUGCAAGAUUUUACUUCUAAUGGAAAGCACCUACUAUCUAUGUGGAUAAUAAAAGAUGGUGAGACAGGACUGCUGUGCUCAUAGGGCUGUCCCGCUCAGAGAGACAGUGAGACUGAGCCAGAUACCAGGAAACAUGGAUUUAAGUACAGGCAUUUGUUCCCUACACGGACAGCUGGUUAUGAACCGUGUCCCGGAUGCUGUGCGCUGCGUCAGGCACCGUGAGCAAAACAGAGAUGCAGUGAAUGUGGAGGUAAGGGAGGGAGAGGGAAGAGCUCCAAAGACAACA
This is a long non-coding RNA of Talpa occidentalis (Iberian mole), 898 nucleotides long. RefSeq lists it as uncharacterized. NCBI's taxonomy places the organism in Eukaryota, Metazoa, Chordata, Mammalia, Eulipotyphla, Talpidae. The record is from RefSeq and is a predicted model, not a curated record. The transcript has 3 exons.